RNAcentral lists this ribosomal RNA (450 nucleotides) under uncultured bacterium. Its description in RNAcentral is "partial 16S ribosomal RNA". It matches the Rfam family "Bacterial small subunit ribosomal RNA", at positions 354 to 796 of the family's 1533-position model. The record is from RNAcentral.
GUGGGGAAUAUUCCGCAAUGGACGAAAGUCUGACGGAGCAACGCCGCGUGAGUGAUGAAGGUUUUCGGACUGUAAAGCUCUGUUGUUUGGGACGAAAGUGCCUGUUGCGAACAGUUACGGGUAUUGACGGUACUAAACGAGGAAGCCACGGCUAACUACGUGCCAGCAGCCGCGGUAAUACGUAGGUGGCAAGCGUUGUCCGGAAUUAUUGGGCGUAAAGAGCAUGUAGGCGGGAAUCUAAGUCUGUUGUGAAAAUGCGGGGCUCAACCCCGUAUUGCGAUGGAAACUGGGUUUCUUGAGUGCAGGAGAGGAAAGGGGAAUUCCCAGUGUAGCGGUGAAAUGCGUAGAUAUUGGGAGGAACACCAGUGGCGAAGGCGCCUUUCUGGACUGUGUCUGACGCUGAGAUGCGAAAGCCAGGGUAGCGAACGGGAUUAGAAACCCCUGUAGUCC